UGGAGGUGGUUCAACGUUGGGGAAGUGAAUGCCAAAGAUUUGAAGUGCGCGAUGAAUUUGGUUCAUCAAAUUGUUUUGGGUUACAAUUUGAGAUUGCUGGGCGUUAAUCCACUCUUUCAGGUCUGCCACUUUAGAUAUCAGUGUUUCGACCUCUUAUGUUCUUUGCCUAGAGGAUAAGGCAGAUGGAUCCUGAAGGCAGGCUUUCCUAAGCCCCCGGUGAACUUUCCCAGGCCGACGACCAAGCAUCUGAUUGAGUGUAUCUGCCAUGAUUUGAAAACCAGCAUCCUCAGGGGGAAACACCUCCUUGAUCGGGGUUUCUAGGGAAAGCUGGGAAACCACCUCCUCCAGAACAGUUUAGCCCUUCUCCACCAUGGUGGACUAGAAAAAAGAAAUAAACAAAUUAAUUUGAAUAUACAUGUAAUUAAUAUUAAUACUAGUUGAAUUUUAAAAAAAAUUGAAAUAACUUACAUGAAGCUGCUACAUUAGCUUAUCCUCGGGCCGAACGUACACCUCCUUGAACAUGUCAAUUUCAGGAAACUUUGACCCCUCUUAAAAAAUUUAGAAAGUGUUAAUAUAGAUUACCAAUUGUGUAAUAAAGAGUAAAAAGAUUGAAAACUUAAAAUAAAUAUACGGGUACCUUACGUCGGUCCUCCAACCUAUAAGAGAAGUGUUGUGAGUCGGAUCGCUGAAGAAGUUUCUUCUUCGACUGAUUGAUCGAGUUUGCCUUCACUUUUUUUAUGUUGAAUUAAAAAAACGUAUUAGUUUAGAUAUUUAUAACAAAUGAAUGAAAAAAAGAAAAUUUUAUACGUACGAGGUAUUUCUCAUCUUGAAAAUGGCCGCAGAGCCACUCCCAUUCAUCUUGGCGGUCCACCAACUCUAUUGAGCACCUAACUGCUAGAGCAACCUCUAGACCGUCAUAUAGCUCAUAAUGCUUGUGGAGGUCGCUCUUCCAUUGAGUGAACCUACCGGAGCAAAGGUCGUUGAUGUACUGCAUUUGAUUGGCAUGGCAUCGAGGUUGGAGAGUUCAUAGUGAUGUUGCAAAACUCAACAAACAAAUAGUAGUUAAAAUUUAUAUACUUUAAUAAAAAUUUAGUAUUUGAGGUUGAAAAUACUUACCAAUAAUUCAUGAAGAACGGCUUCCUUGACUUCAGGUAGGACAACUUUUCUUGACUUCCAAAUGAGGGGGCAAUGGUUCUUGAUAACCGAGCCAAUGUCAGUGGCCAACGCACUGUGCUGCUCUUUUGUUGCAGUCGCACAAUGUCGAGGAUCCCACGUAAUGGUGAUCUUCUCGGUCAUGGUGCAAGUGGUCUGCGAUGUCUUAAGUAGUUCGCAAGGGCUCCUGAUUUAUUUAUUUAUUUUUGAACUACCAAAUAAACAAAGUAAACAUUAGACGAAUUCUAUUUUCUACAAAAAAUUCGGCAGAACCUCCCUUAAAACUAUAACAUUUCCUAAAACCUGUAGACAAUAUAACAACAAAAACAACAUAUCCACCCAACAAUUCAAAUAGUUUAUACCAAUUGGGGACGUUAAAAUAAAAUUUACAACUUGUUGAUAUGACUUCACACUGCGAGUCUACAACAAGUUUUGGCUUCUAAGGCCAGGUGUGCCAACUUAAAUUGUUUAUAGUAGUGAUAAUAAUAAUAUAGAGAGCAUCUAUUUGUGGGAUUACACGAAUUGACAAUAAUAGAGGCAAAGCACUCAAAGCGAAGUUCUUAGUAAGUUUGUUCUAAUUAAUGGGAAUGUGAUAGUUUUGAAGGUUCAAGCAUGCCUACAGACUAAUGUCAAUGUUGCUUUAACCAUCAUGAAACCAGAAGCAAGCUUAUCAAUGGAUAGAGCAAGCUUACCUGUAUGAGACCUCUCUCCAUGGAGAUGAAGCCUCACUAGAUUGCUGAGUCUUCUUAGAACUCUAGGGCCGUCGAUGAGUCCGCUGGGCUAAGGUACAAGGUGCGUCACAAAAAAAGUUGAUGAUGCAGGAGCCGUAGAUACCGUUGGCCCCAAAGGCAUGACCGGAGGGACACCCAUCGUGCCCAUAUCAGGUGUGGAGGUGGCAGCAACACUACCACCUAGAGAAGGUGUCUGACUACCCCUACUAGCUGCCCGCCGGUUUGAUAUUAAGUUCAACAUGUACAAAAAAAAUUAAUAAAAAAGUUACAUUCCACUACUUUAAUAUGGUUUGGAUAUACUAAAAAAAUAUCCUAAAUAUUCAUGCACUAUAGGAACAUUUAUAGUGUCCCACAUGCCUAUAUGUAUAAUCUAUUUACAUGCCUUAUGCAAACCUAUAUGAUAAACAUGAAAAAGAAAAGUUAAAAGGACAAAACAGUUUGCAAGACAAUGCAACUUGUAAGGAAUUGAUGAAUGAUGGAAGAGGGCAAGCAUGUACUUAUUCUGGCUGAAGGUAAGAUGAAUAGAUGUGUGUGUGUGUGUGUGUGUGUACUUAUGUAUCAUAUUCAUGACUUGGACAAAGGGAGGGGCAGACAACCCACAUCUCCACAUAUGAAUCAAGUUUGGUUCAGCAGUUGUAGACAAAGUUAGAAAAAGAAAAAAACAAUCAUGAAUCUGUUUAGAUAUCAUCUUCUUAUAUGCAUUUCAUUUCACAUAUAUAAGGUGAAUGAAAACAUGAGAUAGGAAUAAAAAAGAGUAUUGCAAGGAACAAGUUUAUUCAUAAAAACAAACAAACAAAUUGACCCAUCUACAAUGACAUAUAUGAUGCAACAAAUAUAUUGAAGGGAAAUCGAACUAAAACCUCAAGGUAGAAUCCAUUAGCAAACCCUAGAAUCCACUAAGAAUAAUUGAGGGAAAACUCAUGUUUGUCAUGAAAAACCCUAGAAGGUCUUAACGAUCAAAUAGGAAAUAAAUAAAUAAAAUUGUGAACAAAGUUCCAAAUACAUUCCUAAGUUACAAAGCUUGUACAAAUUAUGAAUGGAAGAUAGUUACAAAACUUGAACAAACUAACAACAAUUGGUACCAUGACAGUUACAAAACUUGUUGCAUCCCUAACAUGUGUAAUGCUAAUGUGAAUGAGGCUAGAAUGUGUGAUAUAGUUGCUCAAUGUCUUAGUGAAUGGGAUGACUGUGGUUAAACACGAAGCUCAAUUGCCAGCCACCAAAUAAAAUGAGAAGUUAGAGCAAAAGCAUUCUUAAAAUGACAUGAUUAAAUUAAUUCCAACUAAUUAUCAAAUGCAUGCAUGACAAAGUUGAAACCCACAUAUUAUCAAAUCAAUUAUCUUCAAACUUUUGGGCAUACAACAUUUUUAUCCCUAAAGAAAAAAUAGAAUAAACAAUUCCUUAGAUUGAUAUUACAGUAUUUCUGUGGGAAUGAAUGAAGAACUAAACCUACAUUGGAUCCAGGUGUUUUAUUUCAGGUCCACUCUGAAUGGUUAGUUUCAUUGAACUUCCUUCAGUGAAACUAAAUAAAAAUUUACUAGGAAAAAACAAAUCAUGAUUGUGAAACACUUGUUACAAGUCACCAGCCCACUCACAAGUUCAAAAGGGCCCAAAAUAUAGAGCUACUCCAAUGAUAUGGCUUCCAACUAGAAAUUUUGUGAACAAUCCCUAGACUAUCCUAGCACUAAUGGAUAGUUCCUACUACAAUCAUUUAGAUAUCAGAAAUGACUUGACUAGAAAACUGCAAUUCGAACCUCUAUAUACGGAUGACAGCUUCAGAACUAGGUAGCUUCUAGACUUUAUUUUUGUUUCCAAUAGUGCAUAGAAAAAUCACCAUAUAUUUUGAGAUUAAAAUGGAAUGGGGUUUUGUCUACAUUUUAUGUUUUCUUUUUCAUUUUUCCUCUCUGAGGGUUUUGAUAAGCAAUUAGAAUCAUCAUGGUGAAAAUUAGUGAGGUUUUCCUAGAUUUAGGCCCAUUAUAAAAGCAAAACUACAUGUUCUUUUGCCCAAAAAUUAAGUUAGAAGCAGCAUGGCUAAAUGCAGCUGGUUUUAACAUCAAAAUUAUUGCAAUAAGAGAUUGCUCACCAAAUCACACACAAUUUUUGUUUUGAUUUGGGAUAUUUCAGAUCACUUAGUGAAAAGAGCAAGUUCAACAAGAAAAAAACUACCAAUUCUCAUCAGCUCUGCAGUUUUACUCCUAGGAAUGUUAAUAGUUAGAUUGAUGAUAUUGUAUAUACGGAAGAAGAAACUCAGAAAUGAAGGUAAGAAUCUCAUACAAGGACUACAAAUUUUAUUUUAUUUAUGUGUAUAUGAUUAUAAGAUUUAGGAACAAAAAUAUAAUUCAGAGUAUCAUGACAUUAACAAUGAAAAAUGUAGUAGAUAAGGUGUUAUUAUUUUAUCUUGAAAGUGUAACUAACUGCUCACAUCAUUUUUACUCGUACUGAAGUGAUCUCUUAAAUAUUUUCAAAACCUUUUUUUUUUAGUCACAUAUUUUUAAAGCGUCUUCAUUAUCAGUUUAGACCUAAUUGACCUCCAGGUUGGACAUGAAGAUGAAUACUUACUUUGUUUGCUUUGAUUAAGGAUAAUCCCAACAAUGUAAUUGUUACCAUAUUGUUAUAAUGUUUCAUGGAAAAACAAUGAUAAAGGAAUGACAACUAUGUAGAGCCAAAAAUAAUCAAGAGGUGACAUGUGAAUAUUUGGGUGAAAAUGAUAAAAUUACCCUCGAGGCACACCGGAAUUCCUACGCGUGAGCAGUGGACAAUCAUCCCUCAAUCAAGUAAAAAAUGCCCAAAAUAGGUAACAAAUUCAAAGUUAUUUCAUCCAUCCUCAUCCUAUAUUUUCCACAAGGUAAUUAUUUCAUAACCUUCAAAACAUUCCAUAUAAAUUGAGUUAAUUGGCUAAUUAAUGGAUUUAUUCCUAAUUAAUCUAUUAAUUACCAAUUAAAUCACCCAUUUCACACAAAAAUACCCCAAAGGUCAGGCCACCUUUUCUCAAAAAGGGGACCGGCCAUGCUCUAUAUAUUGAACCCCUUUUUCUCUAAAAACCUAGGUCCACACUCUUGCAAAACUCCAAAAACUCUCUAAACACUUUUCUCUCUAAAUUCUAACUUUGGCAUUGUAGGUUCUUCGGCAAAGACCCCCUAUUCAUUGUGGGCGUGUGAGGCUUUUGGCAUUAACCAAAGAUGUUAAUUGUUUUGUAGGUGCAAUUUUGUCCAAGAUCAAGGAGGAAGAAAUUUACAUCCACAAAUUGGUGCUUUCAUUGAGAGUUGAGUCCCACACUCGUAGAAGACUCUUGCAUCCAAGGUUUUCUAUUUUCUUGUCCAUUUGUAGAUUUUUCAUACGUUCUUAUUUUUAGAAUUUUUUAUUUGCAAAAAUUAUUUGAUAAAGCGUAAAAGAAAAGUACAAUGGCUAGAAAUUUAGAAACUUCAACAAACAAAAAUUCCAACGUUCAAGAGAUGGGACCACAACGAUCCACGAGGCUAAACUAGACAAUAAGUGGAGCGGCAUCACCACCACAAAGCUUCACCAUGG
RNAcentral lists this long non-coding RNA (5411 nucleotides) under Malus domestica (apple). Its description in RNAcentral is "long non-coding RNA (MDOM_LNC014056)". The record is from RNAcentral. Lineage: Eukaryota; Viridiplantae; Streptophyta; Magnoliopsida; Rosales; Rosaceae.